RNAcentral lists this ribosomal RNA (498 nucleotides) under uncultured bacterium. Its description in RNAcentral is "partial 16S ribosomal RNA". It matches the Rfam family "Bacterial small subunit ribosomal RNA", at positions 28 to 507 of the family's 1533-position model. The record is from RNAcentral.
GACGAACGCUGGCGGCGUGCCUAAUACAUGCAAGUCGAACGAGAGCGACCGGUGCUUGCACUGGUCAAUCUAGUGGCGAACGGGUGAGUAACACGUGGGUAACCUGCCCAUCAGAGGGGGAUAACAUUCGGAAACGGAUGCUAAAACCGCAUAGGUCUUCGAACCGCAUGGUUUGAAGAGGAAAAGAGGCGCAAGCUUCUGCUGAUGGAUGGACCCGCGGUGCAUUAGCUAGUUGGUGAGGUAACGGCUCACCAAGGCCGUGAUGCAUAGCCGACCUGAGAGGGUGAUCGGCCACAUUGGGACUGAGACACGGCCCAAACUCCUACGGGGGGCAGCAGUAGGGAAUCUUCCGCAAUGGACGCAAGUCUGACGGAGCAACGCCGCGUGAGUGAAGAAGGUUUUCGGAUCGUAAAACUCUGUUGUUAGAGAAGAACAAGUGCUAGAGUAACUGUUAGCGCCUUGACGGUAUCUAACCAGAAAGCCACGGCUAACUACGUG